This 407-nucleotide ribosomal RNA is filed under the name uncultured bacterium. Its description in RNAcentral is "partial 16S ribosomal RNA". It matches the Rfam family "Bacterial small subunit ribosomal RNA", at positions 28 to 526 of the family's 1533-position model. The record is from RNAcentral.
GUUGAACGCUGGCGGCAGGCUUAACACAUGCAAGUCGAGCGGAGCGGCGGACGGGUGAGUAAUGCCUAGGAAUCUGCCUGGUAGUGGGGGAUAACGUCCGGAAACGGGCGCUAAUCCCGCAUCCGAGCAGAUGGGACUCGGUCGGAUUAGCUCGUGGGGGGGGGAAAGGCCUACCAAGGCGACGAUCCGUAACUGGUCUGAGAGGAUGAUCAGUCACACUGGAACUGAGACACGUGCCAGACGCCUACGGGAGGCAGCAGUGGGGAAUAGUGGACAAUGGGCGAAAGCCUGAUCCAGCCAUGCCGCGUGUGUGAAGAAGGUCUUCGGAUUGUAAAGCACUUUAAGUUGGGAGGCGGUACCAACAGAAGAAGCACCGGCUAACUUCGUGCCAGCCGCCGCGGUAAUAC